UGCUUCACAAAAGCAACAUGUUUAAUUCAUAGAUUGAUAAUAAACUACUUGUUUGUGGAGACAAAAAGCAAACAAAUAAACAAAACGGCCUACAAAACAAGAAUUUACUAUUUCCAUGAAAUGUAAAUAGUUCAAAAUUAGUUUUAGCACUCUAACAGCUAUAUAAUUUAAAACAAAUAGAAACUGUCAAAUACGUUGAAUUUAAUAAACAAAGUUAAACACUUCUAUCAAUAAAUAGCAGCAAAAUAAAUCUUUUUAUUUAAUUGAGUAAAAGAUAAACUAAAUACGAUUUUAAGAAUGAAAUAAGAAAAUAUUUAUUGAAAAAUCCACCUGAAAAGACCAACAAGCAGUCAAUUCAAGUUGAGAAGAGAAGAAGCUAAGAAAAAUCUACCGGGUGCAAGAACGCAGUAGAACUCCUGGGUCAUGACAAAAUAAAUUAAAUUAUAACUUAAAG
This 454-nucleotide unclassified non-coding RNA is filed under the name Hevea brasiliensis (rubber tree). Lineage: Eukaryota; Viridiplantae; Streptophyta; Magnoliopsida; Malpighiales; Euphorbiaceae. The record is from RNAcentral.